AAACCCGUGGGCAUUGUGCAUCAGUACAUAAGUCAUAUUUUGGAAGCUCGGAUCAGAAAACUUCCUGGACGAAUGUUGCUCAUCUGCUCGAGUACUAUAGCCUGUAAAAUUUUCUGAAUUCUUUGAAUUUUUCUGAUGCCUCAAAGCUGGUCUGCAACUUCUGUGUUCAUCCAUGGCUGGUGUAUACGUCUCUGGCACAGGCAGGGAGGGUGCCGAAAGCUUGUGUUGUAUCCAUUGUCACUGGAAGCUUCGAGUUUACCAAUUUCGCAACUUGGCAAUUUGGAUUUCUAUCUCGAUUUCUCAGUAAAUAGUUCUGCUCCUUCACUGGAAUCUUGAGUCUUUCUUUUGGCUUUGUAGGAAUAGACAUAGACUGGUGUUUGGCCUAGGCUUGUUUUUCUUGUGAACACACGCUUGAUUAAAUCUGGACUUUUCUCCGA
Prunus persica (peach) is the source of this 437-nucleotide long non-coding RNA. RefSeq lists it as uncharacterized. The transcript is spliced from 2 exons. Lineage: Eukaryota; Viridiplantae; Streptophyta; Magnoliopsida; Rosales; Rosaceae. The record is from RefSeq and is a predicted model, not a curated record.